AUACGUAGGGGGCGAGCGUUGUCCGGAAUGAUUGGGCGUAAAGGGCGCGUAAGCGGCCCGGUAAGUCUGGAGUGAAAGUCCUGUUUUUAAGAUGGGAAUUGCUUUGGAUACUGUCGGGCUUGAGUGCAGGAGAGGUAAGUGGAAUUCCCAGUGUAGCGGUGAAAUGCGUAGAGAUUGGGAGGAACACCAGUGGCGAAGGCGACUUACUGGACUGUAACUGACGCUGAGGCGCGAAAGUGUGGGGAGCAAACAGGAUUAGAUACCCUGGUAGUCCACACUGUAAACGAUGAAUGCUAGGUGUAGGGGGUAUCGACCCCUUCUGUGCCGCAGUCAACACAAUAAGCAUUCCGCCUGGGGAGUACGGCCGCAAGGUUGAAACUCAAAUGAAUUGACGGG
RNAcentral lists this ribosomal RNA (396 nucleotides) under uncultured bacterium. RNAcentral describes it as "partial 16S ribosomal RNA". It matches the Rfam family "Bacterial small subunit ribosomal RNA", at positions 523 to 917 of the family's 1533-position model. The record is from RNAcentral.